RNAcentral lists this ribosomal RNA (904 nucleotides) under uncultured bacterium. RNAcentral's name for it is "bacterial SSU rRNA". It matches the Rfam family "Bacterial small subunit ribosomal RNA", at positions 11 to 909 of the family's 1533-position model. The record is from RNAcentral.
GUUUGAUCCUGGCUCAGAUUGAACGCUGGCGGCAGGCUUAACACAUGCAAGUCGAGCGGGGAGAUGUAGCUUGCUACAUUUCCUAGCGGCGGACGGGUGAGUAAUGCUUAGGAAUCUGCCUAUUAGUGGGGGACAACAUUCCGAAAGGAAUGCUAAUACCGCAUACGUCCUACGGGAGAAAGCAGGGGAUCUUCGGACCUUGCGCUAAUAGAUGAGCCUAAGUCAGAUUAGCUAGUUGGUGGGGUAAAGGCCUACCAAGGCGACGAUCUGUAGCGGGUCUGAGAGGAUGAUCCGCCACACUGGGACUGAGACACGGCCCAGACUCCUACGGGAGGCAGCAGUGGGGAAUAUUGGACAAUGGGCGCAAGCCUGAUCCAGCCAUGCCGCGUGUGUGAAGAAGGCCUUUUGGUUGUAAAGCACUUUAAGCGAGGAGGAGGCUACUUGGAUUAAUACUCUAGGAUAGUGGACGUUACUCGCAGAAUAAGCACCGGCUAACUCUGUGCCAGCAGCCGCGGUAAUACAGAGGGUGCGAGCGUUAAUCGGAUUUACUGGGCGUAAAGCGUGCGUAGGCGGCUUUUUAAGUCGGAUGUGAAAUCCCUGAGCUUAACUUAGGAAUUGCAUUCGAUACUGGGAAGCUAGAGUAUGGGAGAGGAUGGUAGAAUUCCAGGUGUAGCGGUGAAAUGCGUAGAGAUCUGGAGGAAUACCGAUGGCGAAGGCAGCCAUCUGGCCUAAUACUGACGCUGAGGUACGAAAGCAUGGGGAGCAAACAGGAUUAGAUACCCUGGUAGUCCGUGCCGCAAACGAUGUCUACUAGCCGUUGGGGCCUUUGAGGCUUUAGUGGCGCAGCUAACGCGAUAAGUAGACCGCCUGGGGAGUACGGUCGCAAGACUAAAACUCAAAUGAA